Molecule: long non-coding RNA, 733 nt
Organism: Magallana angulata
Lineage: Eukaryota; Metazoa; Mollusca; Bivalvia; Ostreida; Ostreidae
Exons: 3
Source: RefSeq, a predicted model, not a curated record
UCCGAUCCGCUCCCUUCCGACGCUUGUAUUGAUCCGUGACGCGUCGACUAUUUUUAGCUGGUAGCAAAAUGGCAGGCAUGGAUGUAAACAUGUGCGCCGAGAUGUUGUGGAUUGAUACUAUGCGUGUGGAUGUCGAACUAUGCAGGAGAUAUGACUCCUGUACUACUUGUGUUGUGUAGAAGAGGUGAAAGAUGCGGGGUACCCGUGUCAUGGUGUUUGAUUCCAUAUGCUGUGUGCUCAAGUGACUCAUUACAAUCAACUGCUUCAGCCCCUAAGUUGAAUUUAUCCAAUUGCAUUUAACAUGUUUUUGGCUUAUGCGUGAGACUAUCUGCAUCAAUUGGUGAAUUGGCUGGUUCUACCUCCCUAUGUUCCUGCCUGUUACCCAGCUUUUCCUAUGUGGAGACUAUCGGCAUGAUUUUGUAUGAGGAAAACAAUUAUGUGCCUUCAUAACCUCCAAACAGAAAUAUCAACAUGAUUAUAUAUGUUAAUUAUAAAUAUACAAACCUAAUCUUAGUACAUGUAUUUAUAUGUUGAAUCUGAGCUAAGGAUUUUGCAACUCUUGGUUUGUCUUUUUUAAUUAUUAGCAAUGAUAUUUAAAACUUACAGUCAAAAUUAAUCUUAAUAUGCAAAUAUUAUUUAUUUAAACCAUUAUUUAUUUGUUAACAGUUUCCUGACUAUGAGUUAUUUUUUCAAUAUUCCCUUGAAAAAUGAAUAAUAAAUGUUUGAAAAUCUA